RNAcentral lists this ribosomal RNA (460 nucleotides) under uncultured bacterium. RNAcentral describes it as "partial 16S ribosomal RNA". It matches the Rfam family "Bacterial small subunit ribosomal RNA", at positions 338 to 795 of the family's 1533-position model. The record is from RNAcentral.
CCUACGGGUGGCAGCAGUGAGGAAUAUUGGUCAAUGGACGAGAGUCUGAACCAGCCAAGUAGCGUGAAGGAUGACUGCCCUAUGGGUUGUAAACUUCUUUUAUAUGGGAAUAAAAUGUUCCACGUGUGGGAUUUUGUAUGUACCAUAUGAAUAAGGAUCGGCUAACUCCGUGCCAGCAGCCGCGGUAAUACGGAGGAUCCGAGCGUUAUCCGGAUUUAUUGGGUUUAAAGGGAGCGUAGGUGGAUUGUUAAGUCAGUUGUGAAAGUUUGCGGCUCAACCGUAAAAUUGCAGUUGAAUAUGGCAGUCUUGAGUACAGUAGAGGUGGGCGGAAAUCGGGGGGGAGCGGUGAAAUGCUUAGAUAUCACGAAGAACUCCGAUUGCGAAGGCAGUUCACUGGACUGCAAAUGACACUGAGGCUCGAAAGUGUGGGUAUCAAACAGGAAUAGAUACCCUUGUAGUC